AACGAACGCUGGCGGCAGGCUUAACACAUGCAAGUCGAGCGCCCCGCAAGUGGAGCGGCAGACGGGUGAGUAACGCGUGGGAACGUACCUUUUGGUUCGGAACAACUCCGGGAAACUGGAGCUAAUACCGGAUAAGCCCUAACGGGGAAAGAUUUAUCGCCGAACGCUCGGCGCGCGUCUGAUUAGCUAGUUGGUGAGGUGACGGCUCAUCAAGGCGACGAUCAGGAGCUGGUGUGAGAGGAUGAUCCGCCACACUGGGACUGCGACACGGCCCAGACUGCGACGGGAGGGAGCAGUGGGGAAUAUUGGACAAUGGGCGCAAGCCUGACAAAGCCAUGCCGCGGGAGUGAUGAAGGGCGUAGGGUUGUAAAGCUCUUUUGUACGGGAAGAUAAUGACUGUACCGGAAGAAUAAGCCCCGGCUAGCUUCGUG
Molecule: ribosomal RNA, 431 nt
Filed under: uncultured bacterium
Lineage: Bacteria
Description: partial 16S ribosomal RNA
Rfam family: Bacterial small subunit ribosomal RNA
Source: RNAcentral